This 154-nucleotide ribosomal RNA is filed under the name uncultured bacterium. Its description in RNAcentral is "partial 16S ribosomal RNA". It matches the Rfam family "Bacterial small subunit ribosomal RNA", at positions 118 to 273 of the family's 1533-position model. The record is from RNAcentral.
UGAGCAAUCUGCCCUUCACAUCGGAAUAACCAUUGGAAACGAUGGCUAAUACCGAAUAUGACUUCGGAUCGCAUGAUCUGAAGUGGAAAGCUCCGGCGGUGAAGGAUGAGCUCGCGGCCUAUCAGCUUGUUGGUGAGGUAAUAGCUCACCGAAC